This 118-nucleotide ribosomal RNA is filed under the name Callithrix jacchus (white-tufted-ear marmoset). The record is from RNAcentral. Lineage: Eukaryota; Metazoa; Chordata; Mammalia; Primates; Cebidae.
GUCUACUGCCAUACUACCCUUAACGCGCCCGAUCUAGUCUGAUCUUGGAAGCUAAGCAGGGUCAGGCCUGGUUAGUACUUCGAUGGGAAAUGUGUGGGAAUACUAGUGGCUGUAGGCU